This 21-nucleotide non-coding RNA is filed under the name Arabidopsis thaliana (thale cress). The record is from RNAcentral. Lineage: Eukaryota; Viridiplantae; Streptophyta; Magnoliopsida; Brassicales; Brassicaceae.
GACAUGAACCGGUCUUGGAAC